RNAcentral lists this non-coding RNA (24 nucleotides) under Arabidopsis thaliana (thale cress). Lineage: Eukaryota; Viridiplantae; Streptophyta; Magnoliopsida; Brassicales; Brassicaceae. The record is from RNAcentral.
UGCAGAAGUGAGUGGUGAAAUGAA